GGUUUCGUGGUCUAGUUGGUUAUGAUUCCUCGCUAACACCGAGGAGGUCCCCGGUUCGAGCCCGGGCGAAACCA
Conoideocrella luteorostrata is the source of this 74-nucleotide non-coding RNA. Lineage: Eukaryota; Fungi; Ascomycota; Sordariomycetes; Hypocreales; Clavicipitaceae. The record is from the annotation of a GenBank genome assembly.